This 494-nucleotide ribosomal RNA is filed under the name uncultured bacterium. Its description in RNAcentral is "partial 16S ribosomal RNA". It matches the Rfam family "Bacterial small subunit ribosomal RNA", at positions 28 to 507 of the family's 1533-position model. The record is from RNAcentral.
GACGAACGCUGGCGGCGUGCUUAACACAUGCAAGUCGAACGGAAAGGCCUGCUUUCCCUUGUGGAUUGCGGGUACUCGAGUGGCGAACGGGUGAGUAACACGUGAGUGAUCUGCCCCCAACUUGGGUAUAAGCCUGGGAAACUGGGUCUAAUUCCCGAUAGGACUGCAGGGUGGUGCCUGUGGUGGAAAACGAUUUUCUAGUGGUCGGGGAUGGGCUCGCGGCCUAUCAGCUUGUUGGUGGGGUAAUGGCCUACCAAGGCGGCGACGGGUAGCCGGCCGGAGAGGGUGGACGGCCACAUUGGGACUGGGAUACGGCCCAGACUCCUACGGGAGGCAGCAGUGGGGAAUAUUGCACAAUGGGCGGAAGCCUGAUGCAGCGACGCCGCGUGGGGGAUGACGGCCUUCGGGUUGUAAACUCCUUUCGACCGCGAGGAAGCCACCUGGUUGGAAGGGUGGUGACGGUAGUGGUAGAAGAAGCACCGGCUAACUACGUG